CAAUAGCGUAUAUUAAAGUUGUUGCAGUUAAAAAGCUCGUAGUUGAAUUUCUGUCAGGAGUGACCGGGCCUUUGGAUGAACUUCCAUUGUUUUUUGCUCUGUUUGUCAUCUCUAGACAUCCUGGAAUAUUUUUUUUUUAAAUGUUCCUCUUUUACUGUUAGCAAAAUAGAGUGUUCCAAGCAAAGCGUAGUUUUGAAUACAUUAGAAUGGAAUAAUAAGAUAGGACUUUGGUGCUAUUUUGUUGGUUUGCACACCAAGGUAAUGAUUAAUAGGGACAGUUGGGGGUAUUCGUAUUUAAUUGUCAGAGGUGAAAUUCUUGGAUUUAUGAAAGACGAACUACUGCGAAAGCAUUUGCCAAGGAUGUUUUCAUUGA
This 373-nucleotide ribosomal RNA is filed under the name uncultured eukaryote. RNAcentral describes it as "partial 18S ribosomal RNA". It matches the Rfam family "Eukaryotic small subunit ribosomal RNA", at positions 592 to 976 of the family's 1831-position model. The record is from RNAcentral.